Molecule: non-coding RNA, 64 nt
Filed under: Kibdelosporangium phytohabitans
Lineage: Bacteria; Bacillati; Actinomycetota; Actinomycetes; Pseudonocardiales; Pseudonocardiaceae
Source: RNAcentral
AUAUUGCCGUGGUUGCACGGCCCGGACGAGCGCGUCGUACCCGGUUACGCGAAGACGGCGCAGU